AUUAACUUGUACACUUUGGUGAGUUGGGGAUUUUUAUCUCUAGCAUGCAGGCAAAGAAACCACCCUGGGGCUGAAGUGCACCAGAUACCAAACCUAACAGGAUUGUGUAGUGUAUCCUUUAGAGAUAAUGAGUGCAGAGAUUGGCUGGCUGGUCUACAGGUUAACAGCGUCUCAAAGCAUAACAAUUUUUCUUUGUACAGAUCAAAAUGGAGUUUCUUUUGUCUUCCUUUUCUACAUAGGCACAGUAACAGUCUGAUCUCUCUUUCUUUUGGCUCACUGCAAGCUGUGCCUCCCAGGUUCACGUGAUUCUCCUGCCUCAGCCUCCUGAGUAGCUGGGAAUACAUGUGCCCGCCACGCAGCCAGGCUAAUUUUCUUUUUGUAUUUUUAGUAGAGUCUAUAUUUGAGUCCUUGUGGAUGAACUGUAACCUAGCUUAAUAGUCAGACAAAAUCAAAAACCUAACUUAAUAGUAUGCAUCAGUAACAAUAGCUGAGCAUUGGCCAAUCCCAGCGGCCAUACUUCAACCAUUCAUAGACCACUGACUAUUCAAGCUGCCUUCAACUAAGGCAAAUGCGGAGCUAUAACCAAUCUCACUGUUUCUGU
RNAcentral lists this long non-coding RNA (601 nucleotides) under Pan troglodytes (chimpanzee). RNAcentral describes it as "long non-coding RNA NONPTRT003057". Lineage: Eukaryota; Metazoa; Chordata; Mammalia; Primates; Hominidae. The record is from RNAcentral.